UGGGGAAUUUUGGACAAUGGGCGAAAGCCUGAUCCAGCCAUGCCGCGUGAGUGAAGAAGGCCUUCGGGUUGUAAAGCUCUUUUAGUCGGAAAGAAAGAGUUGCAAUGAAUAAUUGUGAUUUAUGACGGUACCGACAGAAAAAGCACCGGCUAACUACGUGCCAGCAGCCGCGGUAAUACGUAGGGUGCGAGCGUUAAUCGGAAUUACUGGGCGUAAAGGGUGCGCAGGCGGCCUUGCAAGUCAGAUGUGAAAGCCCCGGGCUUAACCUGGGAAUUGCGUUUGAAACUACAAGACUAGAGUGCAGCAGAGGGGAGUGGAAUUCCAUGUGUAGCAGUGAAAUGCGUAGAGAUGUGGAAGAACACCGAUGGCGAAGGCAGCUCCCUGGGUUGACACUGACGCUCAUGCACGAAAGCGUGGGGAGCAAACA
This 427-nucleotide ribosomal RNA is filed under the name uncultured beta proteobacterium. RNAcentral's name for it is "bacterial SSU rRNA". It matches the Rfam family "Bacterial small subunit ribosomal RNA", at positions 355 to 774 of the family's 1533-position model. Lineage: Bacteria; Pseudomonadati; Pseudomonadota; Betaproteobacteria. The record is from RNAcentral.